RNAcentral lists this ribosomal RNA (1133 nucleotides) under uncultured organism. Its description in RNAcentral is "bacterial SSU rRNA". It matches the Rfam family "Bacterial small subunit ribosomal RNA", at positions 239 to 1374 of the family's 1533-position model. The record is from RNAcentral.
CAUCAGCUUGUUGGUGAGGGUAACGGCCCACCAAGGCGACAACGGGUAGCUGGUCUGAGAGGAUGGUCAGCCACACUGGAACUGAGACACGGUCCAGACACCUACGGGUGGCAGCAGUCGAGAAUCAUUCGCAAUGGGGGAAACCCUGACGAUGCGACGCCGCGUGGAGGAUGAAGGCCUUAGGGUUGUAAACUCCUGUCAAGAGGGAAUAAGCAAGUGAAGGUACCUCUAGAGGAAGGGGCGGCUAAUUCCGUGCCAGCAGCCGCGGUAACACGGAAGCCCCGAGCGUUGUUCGGAUUCAUUGGGCGUAAAGGGUGCGUAGGCGGCGCGGAAAGUCCGGCGUGAAAGGCAGGGGCUCAACCUCUGGACUGCGUUGGAUACUUCCGUGCUUGAGGACUGGAGGGGAGACUGGAAUUCACGGUGUAGCAGUGAAAUGCGUAGAUAUCAUGAGGAAGACCGGUGGCGAAGGCGAGUCUCUGGACAGAUCCUGACGCUGAGGCACGAAGGCUGGGGGAGCGAACAGGAUUAGAUACCCUGGUAGUCCCAGCAGUAAACGAUGUGAGCUUGAUGUGGGGGGAUUCGACCCCUUCCGUGUCGAAGCUAACGCGAUAAGCUCACCGCCUGAGGAGUACGGCCGCAAGGCUAAAACUCAAAGAAAUUGACGGGGACCCGCACAAGGGGUGGAGUAUGUGGCUUAAUUCGAUGCAACGCGAAGAACCUUACCUGGCCUUGACAUGCAUUGUGUCGUCGGUGAAAGCCGGCUAGUCCUGGAAACAGGACGCUUUGCACAGGUGCUGCAUGGCUGUCGUCAGCUCGUGUCGUGAGAUGUUGGGUUAAGUCCCGCAACGAGCGCAACCCUUGUGGUCAGUUACUAACCGGCUUAGCCGGAGGACUCUGGCCAGACUGCCCUGUCAAACGGGGAGGAAGCUGGGGACGACGUCAAGUCAGUAUGGCCCUUAUGGCCAGGGCUGCACACGUACUACAAUGCCCGGUACAAUGUGAACCGAAACCGCGAGGUGGAGGAAAUCGCUCUUGAAAACCGGGCCCAGUUCGGAUUGGAGUCUGCAACUCGACUCCAUGAAGUCGGAAUCGCUAGUAAUGGCGUAUCAGCAACGCCGCCGUGAAUACGUUCC